AUGAAAAUGGCCAAAAGUGAGACACACUUCUAUGUGUUGGAACCGAAUGAGAAACCUCAAGAUCUUCAUGACCGACUUAAGGCCCUUGCUGUGAAGCUUCAAAGCUUCAAGUGUGGAAAGUUUGAUGAUGGACUCAUCAUCACCAACCGGUUUCUUGUUGAGACGUUGUUGACAGCUCUUGCUCCUCACUAUGAUGGCAUGGUAUUUCACAUAAGACGCGAGUUUGGUUCUCCGAAGAUGAUCCCAGAUGAUGUGAUUGCUACUUUCAGGCAACAUGAAGAAUAUGUGUCCAAUGGGAAGAAAGGGCCGCCAUGA
RNAcentral lists this ribosomal RNA (315 nucleotides) under Triticum aestivum (bread wheat). RNAcentral describes it as "partial small subunit ribosomal RNA". Lineage: Eukaryota; Viridiplantae; Streptophyta; Magnoliopsida; Poales; Poaceae. The record is from RNAcentral.